RNAcentral lists this ribosomal RNA (484 nucleotides) under uncultured bacterium. RNAcentral's name for it is "partial 16S ribosomal RNA". It matches the Rfam family "Bacterial small subunit ribosomal RNA", at positions 30 to 507 of the family's 1533-position model. The record is from RNAcentral.
AUUGAACGCUGGCGGCAGGCCUAACACAUGCAAGUCGAGCGGAUGAACGGGGCUUGCCCUUGGAUCGAGCGGCGGACGGGUGAGUAAUGCCUAGGAAUCUGCCCGGUAGUGGGGGAUAACGUCGGGAAACGGGCGCUAAUACCGCAUACGUCCUGAGGGAGAAAGCGGGGGAUCUUCGGACCUCACGCUAUCAGAUGAGCCUAGGGCGGAUUAGCUAGUUGGUGGGGUAAAGGCCUACCAAGGCGACGAUCCGUAACUGGUCUGAGAGGAUGAUCAGUCACACUGGAACUGAGACACGGUCCAGACUCCUACGGGAGGCAGCAGUGGGGAAUAUUGGACAAUGGGCGAAAGCCUGAUCCAGCCAUGCCGCGUGUGUGAAGAAGGUCUUCGGAUUGUAAAGCACUUUUAGUUGGGAGGAAGAGGAGUGAGUUAAUACCUUGCUGUUUUGACGGUACCAGCAGAAUAAGCACCGGCUAACUUCGUG